This 454-nucleotide ribosomal RNA is filed under the name uncultured bacterium. Its description in RNAcentral is "bacterial SSU rRNA". It matches the Rfam family "Bacterial small subunit ribosomal RNA", at positions 340 to 786 of the family's 1533-position model. The record is from RNAcentral.
UACGGGAGGCAGCAGUGGGGAAUAUUGCACAAUGGGCGAAAGCCUGAUGCAGCUAUGCCGCGUGUAUGAAGAAGGCCUUAGGGUUGUAAAGUACUUUCAGUCGUGAGGAAGGUGUUAAGGUUAAUAACCUUAGCAAUUGACGUUAGCGACAGAAGAAGCACCGGCUAACUCCGUGCCAGCAGCCGCGGUAAUACGGAGGGUGCGAGCGUUAAUCGGAAUUACUGGGUCGUAAAGGGCACGCAGGCGGUUAAUUAAGUUGGAUGUGAAAUCCCCGGGCUUAACCUGGGAAUGGCAUUCAAGACUGGUUAGCUAGAGUCUUGUAGAGGGGGUAGAAUUCCAUGUGUAGCGGUGAAAUGCGUAGAGAUGUGGAGGAAUACCGGUGGCGAAGGCGGCCCCUGGACAAAGACUGACGCUCAUGUGCGAAAGCGUGGGGAGCAAACAGGGAUUAGAUACC